Molecule: long non-coding RNA, 230 nt
Organism: Lepisosteus oculatus (spotted gar)
Lineage: Eukaryota; Metazoa; Chordata; Actinopteri; Semionotiformes; Lepisosteidae
Source: RefSeq, a predicted model, not a curated record
CAACAAACUGCUCCGCUCUUCCGUCAGGCUCACUUGAACAGCGCUGCUGAUGCUGCUUUUCAGUGAUUGAAAGCUUGCACUUCUUAAGCAACCCGAGUGUGAAGGAGACCUCCUUGGGUCAGGCACCUCACAUCAACUAUAUACAGGAACGGUCUCCGCAGAAUCAGAGGUAACAGACUGGGAGGGAACCCACAUGGAACUGUCCUCUCCUUCAGCCAGUUUUUCCCACU